CGCGGCCUAUCAGCUUGUUGGUGGGGUGAUGGCCUACCAAGGCGACGACGGGUAGCCGGCCUGAGAGGGCGACCGGCCACACUGGGACUGAGACACGGCCCAGACUCCUACGGGAGGCAGCAGUGGGGAAUAUUGCGCAAUGGGCGGAAGCCUGACGCAGCGACGCCGCGUGGGGGAUGACGGCCUUCGGGUUGUAAACCUCUUUCGCCAGGGACGAAGCGCAAGUGACGGUACCUGGAUAAGAAGCACCGGCCAACUACGUGCCAGCAGCCGCGGUAAUACGUAGGGUGCGAGCGUUGUCCGGAAUUAUUGGGCGUAAAGAGCUCGUAGGCGGUCUGUCGCGUCGGUCGUGAAAACUUGGGGCUUAACCCUGAGCUUGCGGUCGAUACGGGCAUGACUGGAGUUCGGCAGGGGAGACUGGAAUUCCUGGUGUAGCGGUGAAAUGCGCAGAUAUCAGGAGGAACACCGGUGGCGAAGGCGGGUCUCUGGGCCGAUACUGACGCUGAGGAGCGAAAGCGUGGGGAGCGAACAGGAUUAGAUACCCUGGUAGUCCACGCCGUAAACGGUGGGCGCUAGGUGUGGGGGCCAUUCCACGGUCUCUGUGCCGCAGCUAACGCAUUAAGCGCCCCGCCUGGGGAGUACGG
This 644-nucleotide ribosomal RNA is filed under the name uncultured bacterium. RNAcentral describes it as "bacterial SSU rRNA". It matches the Rfam family "Bacterial small subunit ribosomal RNA", at positions 232 to 885 of the family's 1533-position model. The record is from RNAcentral.